AUACGUAGGUGACAAGCGUUAUCCGGAUUUACUGGGCGUAAAGGGCGUGUAGGCGGUCUUGCAAGUCAGAAGUGAAAUUCCUGAGCUCAACUCGGGCGCUGCUUCUGAAACUGCAGGACUUGAGUGCUGGAGGGGAUAGCGGAAUUCCUAGUGGAGCGGUAAAAUGCGCAGAUAUUAGGAAGAACACCGGUGGCGAAGGCGGCUAUCUGGACAGUAACUGACGCUGAGGCGCGAAAGCGUGGGGAGCAAACAGGAUUAGAUACCCCGGUAGUCCACGCCGUAAACGAUGAAUACUAGGUGUAGGGGGUAUCGACUCCCUCUGUGCCGCAGUUAACACAAUAAGUAUUCCGCCUGGGGAGUACGGCCGCAAGGUUGAAACUCAAAGGAAUUGACGGGG
Molecule: ribosomal RNA, 397 nt
Filed under: uncultured bacterium
Lineage: Bacteria
Description: partial 16S ribosomal RNA
Rfam family: Bacterial small subunit ribosomal RNA
Source: RNAcentral